RNAcentral lists this ribosomal RNA (1487 nucleotides) under metagenome. RNAcentral describes it as "bacterial SSU rRNA". It matches the Rfam family "Bacterial small subunit ribosomal RNA". The record is from RNAcentral.
AGAGUUUGAUCCUGGCUCAGGAUGAACGCUAGCGGCAGGCCUAACACAUGCAAGUCGAGGGGUAACGACCCUGCUUUCGGGCGGGGGGCGACGACCGGCGCACGGGUGAGUAACGCGUAUGCAACCUACCCUUUACUGGGGAAUAGCCCGAAGAAAUUCGGAUUAAUGCCCCAUAAUAUUAUUUCUUCUCAUGGAGAGAUAAUUAAAACUCCGGUGGUAAAGGAUGGGCAUGCGUGACAUUAGAUAGUUGGUGAGGUAACGGCUCACCAAGUCUACGAUGUCUAGGGGGCCUGAGAGGGUGAUCCCCCACACUGGUACUGAGACACGGACCAGACUCCUACGGGAGGCAGCAGUGAGGAAUAUUGCGCAAUGGAGGAAACUCUGACGCAGCCAUGCCGCGUGCAGGAUGAAUGCCCUAUGGGUUGUAAACUGCUUUUAUACGGGAAUAAGCACAGCUACGUGUAGUUGUUUGAAUGUACCGUACGAAUAAGCAUCGGCUAACUCCGUGCCAGCAGCCGCGGUAAUACGGAGGAUGCAAGCGUUAUCCGGAUUUAUUGGGUUUAAAGGGUGCGUAGGCGGUUUAUUAAGUCAGUGGUGAAAGUCUGCAGCUUAACUGUAGAAUUGCCAUUGAUACUGAUAGACUUGAAUAUAGUUGAGGUAGGCGGAAUGUGUAAUGUAGCGGUGAAAUGCUUAGAUAUUACACAGAACACCGAUUGCGUAGGCAGCUUACUAAACUAUCAUUGACGCUGAGGCACGAAAGCGUGGGGAGCGAACAGGAUUAGAUACCCUGGUAGUCCACGCUGUAAACGAUGAUCACUCGCUGUUGGCAAUACAUCGUCAGCGGCUAAGCGAAAGCAUUAAGUGAUCCACCUGGGGAGUACGUCGGCAACGAUGAAACUCAAAGGAAUUGACGGGGGCCCGCACAAGCGGUGGAACAUGUGGUUUAAUUCGAUGAUACGCGAGGAACCUUACCUGGGCUUAAAUGUAGAAUGACUUUACUCGAAAGAGUAUUUUCCUUCGGGACAUUUUACAAGGUGCUGCAUGGUUGUCGUCAGCUCGUGCCGUGAGGUGUCGGGUUAAGUCCCAUAACGAGCGCAACCCCUAUCACUAGUUGCCAGCAUGUAAUGGUGGGGACUCUAGUGAAACUGCCGGUGUAAACCGUGAGGAAGGUGGGGAUGACGUCAAAUCAGCACGGCCCUUAUGUCCAGGGCUACACACGUGUUACAAUGGUCGGUACAAAGGGAUGCUACCAGGUGACUGGAUGCUAAUCUCCAAAAACCGGUCUCAGUUCGGAUUGAAGUCUGCAACUCGACUUCAUGAAGCUGGAAUCGCUAGUAAUCGCGCAUCAGCAAUGGCGUGGUGAAUACGUUCCCGGGCCUUGUACUCACCGCCCGUCAAGCCAUGGAAGCCGGGGGUACCUGAAGGCUGUAACCGCAAGGAGCGGUCUAGGGUAAAACUGGUAACUGGGGCUAAGUCGUAACAAGGUA